GCAAGUCGAGCGCAGUCCUUCGGGACCGAGCGGCGGACGGGUUAGUAACGCGUGGGAACAUACCCAACUCUAAGGAAUAGCCUCUGGAAACGGAGAGUAAUACCUUAUACGCCCUUCGGGGGAAAGAUUUAUCGGAAUUGGAUUAGCCCGCGUUAGAUUAGAUAGUUGGUGGGGUAACGGCCUACCAAGUCGACGAUCUAUAGCUGGUUUGAGAGGAUGAUC
This 222-nucleotide ribosomal RNA is filed under the name uncultured bacterium. RNAcentral describes it as "partial 16S ribosomal RNA". It matches the Rfam family "Bacterial small subunit ribosomal RNA", at positions 57 to 305 of the family's 1533-position model. The record is from RNAcentral.